This 460-nucleotide ribosomal RNA is filed under the name uncultured bacterium. RNAcentral's name for it is "partial 16S ribosomal RNA". It matches the Rfam family "Bacterial small subunit ribosomal RNA", at positions 338 to 795 of the family's 1533-position model. The record is from RNAcentral.
CCUACGGGAGGCAGCAGUGAGGAAUAUUGGUCAAUGGACGAGAGUCUGAACCAGCCAAGUAGCGUGAAGGAUGACUGCCCUAUGGGUUGUAAACUUCUUUUAUAUGGGAAUAAAAUGUUCCACGUGUGGGAUUUUGUAUGUACCAUAUGAAUAAGGAUCGGCUAACUCCGUGCCAGCAGCCGCGGUAAUACGGAGGAUCCGAGCGUUAUCCGGAUUUAUUGGGUUUAAAGGGAGCGUAGGUGGAUUGUUAAGUCAGUUGUGAAAGUUUGCGGAUCAACCGUAAAAUUGCAGUUGAAACUGGCAGUCUUGAGUACAGUAGAGGUGGGCGGAAUUCGUGGUGUAGCGGUGAAAUGCUUAGAUAUCACGAAGAACUCCGAUUGCGAAGGCAGUUCACUGGACUGCAACUGACACUGAGGCUCGAAAGUGUGGGUAUCAAACAGGAUUAGAUACACUUGUAGUC